Molecule: ribosomal RNA, 1372 nt
Filed under: uncultured bacterium
Lineage: Bacteria
Description: bacterial SSU rRNA
Rfam family: Bacterial small subunit ribosomal RNA
Source: RNAcentral
GAUAAACGCUGGCGGCGUGCCUAAUACAUGCAAGUCGAGCGAACGGACGAGAAGCUUGCUUCUCUGAUGUUAGCGGCGGACGGGUGAGUAACACGUGGAUAACCUACCUAUAAGACUGGGAUAACUUCGGGAAACCGGAGCUAAUACCGGAUAAUAUUUUGAACCGCAUGGUUCAAAAGUGAAAGACGGUCUUGCUGUCACUUAUAGAUGGAUCCGCGCUGCAUUAGCUAGUUGGUAAGGUAACGGCUUACCAAGGCAACGAUGCAUAGCCGACCUGAGAGGGUGAUCGGCCACACUGGAACUGAGACACGGUCCAGACUCCUACGGGAGGCAGCAGUAGGGAAUCUUCCGCAAUGGGCGAAAGCCUGACGGAGCAACGCCGCGUGAGUGAUGAAGGUCUUCGGAUCGUAAAACACUGUUAUUAGGGAAGAACAUAUGUGUAAGUAACUGUGCACAUCUUGACGGUACCUAAUCAGAAAGCCACGGCUAACUACGUGCCAGCAGCCGCGGUAAUACGUAGGUGGCAAGCGUUAUCCGGAAUUAUUGGGCGUAAAGCGCGCGUAGGCGGUUUUUUAAGUCUGAUGUGAAAGCCCACGGCUCAACCGUGGAGGGUCAUUGGAAACUGGAAAACUUGAGUGCAGAAGAGGAAAGUGGAAUUCCAUGUGUAGCGGUGAAAUGCGCAGAGAUAUGGAGGAACACCAGUGGCGAAGGCGACUUUCUGGUCUGUAACUGACGCUGAUGUGCGAAAGCGUGGGGAUCAGACAGGAUUAGAUACCCUGGUAGUCCACGCCGUAAACGAUGAGUGCUAAGUGUUAGGGGGUUUCCGCCCCUUAGUGCUGCAGCUAACGCAUUAAGCACUCCGCCUGGGGAGUACGACCGCAAGGUUGAAACUCAAAGGAAUUGACGGGGACCCGCACAAGCGGUGGAGCAUGUGGUUUAAUUCGAAGCAACGCGAAGAACCUUACCAAAUCUUGACAUCCUUUGACAACUCUAGAGAUAGAGCCUUCCCCUUCGGGGGACAAAGUGACAGGUGGUGCAUGGUUGUCGUCAGCUCGUGUCGUGAGAUGUUGGGUUAAGUCCCGCAACGAGCGCAACCCUUAAGCUUAGUUGCCAUCAUUAAGUUGGGCACUCUAAGUUGACUGCCGGUGACAAACCGGAGGAAGGUGGGGAUGACGUCAAAUCAUCAUGCCCCUUAUGAUUUGGGCUACGCACGUGCUACAAUGGACAAUACAAAGGGCAGCGAAACCGCGAGGUCAAGCAAAUCCCAUAAAGUUGUUCUCAGUUCGGAUUGUAGUCUGCAACUCGACUACAUGAAGCUGGAAUCGCUAGUAAUCGUAGAUCAGCAUGCUACGGUGAAUACGUUCCCGGGUCU